RNAcentral lists this non-coding RNA (29 nucleotides) under Mus musculus (house mouse). The record is from RNAcentral. Lineage: Eukaryota; Metazoa; Chordata; Mammalia; Rodentia; Muridae.
UGCUGUAUAUAGGCCAGUCACAAGCCCUU